GACGAACGCUGGCGGCGUGCUUAACACAUGCAAGUCGAACGAUGAAGCCGGAGCUUGCUCUGGUGAAUUAGUGGCGAACGGGUGAGUAACACGUGAGUAACCUGCCCUUGACUCUGGGAUAACUGCUAGAAAUGGUAGCUAAUACCGGAUACGACCCUCGGAGGCAUAUUCAGGGGGUGGAAAGAAUUUCGGUCAAGGAUGGACUUGCGGCCUAUCAGCUAGUUGGUGAGGUAAUGGCUCACCAAGGCGACGACGGGUAGCCGGCCUGAGAGGGUGACCGGCCACACUGGGACUGAGACACGGCCCAGACUCCUACGGGAGGCAGCAGUGGGGAAUAUUGCACAAUGGGCGCAAGCCUGAUGCAGCGACGCCGCGUGAGGGAUGACGGCCUUCGGGUUGUAAACCUCUUUUAGUAGGGAAGAAGCGAAAGUGACGGUACCUGCAGAAAAAGCACCGGCUAACUACGUGCCAGCCGCCGCCGUAA
Molecule: ribosomal RNA, 484 nt
Filed under: uncultured bacterium
Lineage: Bacteria
Description: partial 16S ribosomal RNA
Rfam family: Bacterial small subunit ribosomal RNA
Source: RNAcentral